Molecule: long non-coding RNA, 312 nt
Organism: Capsicum annuum
Lineage: Eukaryota; Viridiplantae; Streptophyta; Magnoliopsida; Solanales; Solanaceae
Exons: 2
Source: RefSeq, a predicted model, not a curated record
AAAAAAAAUUAACAACACCAACAAGGAUAACAUUGAGUUUGUGAUUCAAGACUUUGCUUUCAAGAGAUUCAAAGCAGACUAGGGGCAGAUUUUUUUUUUGGUAGCAAAAUCAAUUUCAUCAGCUGCGAAGUUUACCAAGACAUGGUUGAACGAGAAAAACUCGAAUUACUCCAAGUGGGAGUUCAGAAUGUCGAGUAAAGAAAUAAAGUAGAAGAGCACGCCGUCGAAGAAUAUAUUUUCGAGGUUUUGAGAUUAUAUAAAAUGAUGUCCCUAGGGCGACACAAAAUUUGUUAAGGAAUGAAAGGGCUAUGC